RNAcentral lists this long non-coding RNA (4881 nucleotides) under Sus scrofa (pig). RNAcentral's name for it is "lncRNA (ENSSSCG00025004303.1)". The record is from RNAcentral. Lineage: Eukaryota; Metazoa; Chordata; Mammalia; Artiodactyla; Suidae.
GGGACCCUUUCAAACUGGAAACUUAUCUUUCUCUUUUUACAUAGUUAAAAUAAUUCUGUUCAAAUAAUAUUUUCUAAUAUACUCUGAAAUCAUGAGUGUAUUUUUUUUUUUUUGUCUUUUUAGGGCCACACCCACGGCAUAUGGAGGUUCCCAGGCUAGAUCUAAUCAGAGCUGCAGCUGCCUGCUGAUGCCACAGCCACAGCAAGGACAGAUCCAACCCGUGUCUGCGACCUGCACCACAGCUCAUGGCAACAUGGGAUCCUUAACCCACUGAGCAAGGCCAGGGAUUGGGCCCGAAACAUCAUGGUUCCUAGUCGGAUUCGUUUCCGCUGACGGGAACUCCUGAAAUCAUGAGUCUAGAAGUCAAUUUCAGAUUUGUAUUAUUUAUUUUUUAAUUUAAAUAUAGUUGAUUUACAGUGUUAUGUUAGUUUCAGAUGUAUAAUAUAGUCAUUCAAUUUUUUAUAGCUUACACACCAUUUAAAGUUAUUAUAAAAUAGUGGCUACAUUCCCUGUACAGUACCUUACACGCAUGUGUAUUCUUAGUCGUAUUUUAAAUUUCUUAUUAAAAUUACUCCUUAACAUUUUAGAAGCUGGAGUUAGAAUAGGAAAUGUAUUACUCAGUACACAGUGAGACACUGAAUUUUCUGUGGCAAACUUCUCUAACCUGUUAUAAAACAAGGUCCUUGAUAGGGUGAAGGAUAAAGAAACCAGAAUCCCCGGCGUAGGUCACGUGAUGAAGAAGGGUCAUCCUGUUUUCUCACACAGACAAGUAGAUGGGAAAUCUCUUUACAAAUAAACAGAGCAGAGAAUGAGCAGAUUAAAUGUUUCUCAGGUGAGACAGAGCGUCCAGUAACAGAGUGUCACGGGGUGGCUUUCUCAGUUCCUUGGUACAAUAUACCCUUUUAGUGAUGAAUAGGCAUCGUGCAUUCCAACAUAGCCAAAUGACUAGCGUUGCAUUGGAAUUGGAAUAAAUGUAAUUUUAAGAAUUCAAGACACCAGAGUUAUAGAGAAUAGGUUUAAAGUCUACAGUGAUUAAGAAAACAAAAUAAACAUAAAACAGUUCACAUAAGAAUUAUUGAAAAUCAGAGUAACAAAUGUAAUUUGGAUAUUACUAUACAAAUUAUUUAUUAGUGUCAGGUUUAUGAUUUCUGUCUAGACCUAUAAAAGAACAGUUCUCAUGCAAUGGGAAAGACAAGUUAAAGAUGCGUAUAUUAGCAUCCACUUCAGCUAAUUAUGCUCAUGAAGUCAGUUGUUCCAUGAAAGGCAACCUCGUUUAUUGGACAUUUUUAGGAAAUGAUCAAUUCCUCAGAGACGUUGAUGUACACAACUUUAUUUUCAUUCUACCUGUUUUUGAUUAAAAUAUUCCUCAAAGAAUAUAUUUAUUUGGCUAACUUAGAACAGGCCCAGGCGUUUAGAGGAUUCUGCUGAGUGUUUGUUUAUUCCGUCAUUUACUUAGUCAACAAGUAUUGUGUUAUUACUCUUUCCCAGUAAGUCAGGGCCGUCAUUCCUCAUUCCUCAUUGUGUUAAACCUCAGGCGGUUUUGCCCUCGGGCACCUUGAAGCUGUGCCGUGCACUUGGCCUCAAAUACAAGGCUUUGAGAAAAUUAUGCUUUUUGAGCAAAAGCUCCUGUGACUCAGUGAGGAAAAGCAAAACAACUCAAUGGGAAAAAUACAUGAAUAGGCAUUUCACAGAAAAGGAAUAACAAAUGCUCAUAAACAUAUGGAAAGAUUCUCCGUUUCUUGAUGAUCAGAGACACAAGUGAAAACCACACUGAGUUUCCACUGUACACGCUGCUGUGGCCAAGCGUUAUGAGGAAGUGGAGCCGUGGGACUCUUCUCCACCGAUAGCAGAGGCAUCAGCUGUGUCCUUCCGUGGAAGACAAUUCGGGUAUGAGCCAAUAAGCUGAGUAACGCACAUCCCUGCUACCCGGUGAGCCCAUCCCUCGGCGUGAACUCCAAGAAAGACCUUACAGCGGCAGAGGAGGUGGAUGUAAGAAUGUUCUGACAGUACAGCCUGUCAAGAAAAACUGCAGCCACCUAAAUACGUGCUGCAGUGAAGAGAGAUGGACUGGGUACACUCCUACCUGGAAUGCCAUCCAGCAGUGAGGAGGAGUACGUUAUCACUGCUUGCAUCGAUGUGACUGGACGUCUUAAACAAUAUUGAGGAAAAAAGGGACGUCUCAGAAGGGGACCUGCAAGUUCCACUCAGUCUAUAUAAGGGUAGAAAUCUGGCUUAACUGCAUGUAUUUUGUAGGGACAUAGAAAACUUGAUCCAACUGUAAAGGAAAACACCACACAAAAAUGGAGAUCAACACGUUACUCAGAGAGUGUUUACGGAGGAGGGCAGGUAAGGGCUGUGAUGACAGGAGGAGGCGGAGAGGGACCCAAGGCAUGGGGUCAUGUUCUGCCCCUUCAGCAUCGUCUCAUCCAACCAGCGCUUCCUAAAGGCCUGCGAAGCGCCAAGCACUGCCGUAGCACGUAGGGUACAAACUCUUCAAGAGAACAUAUUCCGCAGGAAGCGAAAAAAUGGAUGGAGUAAAUCAUUAACUUAUUUUAGUUUCAAAAGGUGAUAAGUUCUAUGGAAAAAAUGGGAGUUAAGACAGCUUGGUGUGUGUGGAUGGUUAGUAGAAUUAAAUGAGAUGAUGAGGGUACCUUCUUUGAGAAGGAGCUAUUUGAAUCUAGAUUUGAAAGAGAUACGGAGUAAGCCACACGGCUACCUGGGUGAGUGAAAUUUAGGCAGAGGGACCAGCCAGUGCAAUGAUCUCAUUAUGGUGAUGUGUUUGCCAUGUUUGGGGAGACAUGGGGAGGGCACCGCAGCUGACAAUGAGCAGCAUGGUCAGAGAGGUGGAUGCACCAGCAGGGCUGGACAGGGCAUGACAUGCUAGGUCGGGUAUUGGCAGCGUCCCUCUGCAAAGAGGCAGAUGAUAAAUAUUUUAGGCUUUACGGGCCACAGGGUCUCAGAAGCAAAUGCUCUGCCGUUGGAACAUGAAAGCAGCCAUAGACAAUAUGCAGUUAAUGGACAUGGAUCUAUUAUAGUAACGCUACACAAAAAAGAAGUGAGUGGAGAGUGACGGAAUUAGGAUGGCAGAAUAGAAGGACUGGAGCUCAACUUCUCUCCUAAAAACAACAAAAUUCACAACUAAAGACUGAGCACACUUCACCAAAAUGGACCGGAAACCUUAAAAAAGAUACCCUACUCCAGAAGAAAAAGAGGAGGCCACAUCAAGAGGUAGGAGGGGCGAUUUCAUGAUAUAAACAACCCCAUACCUCCUGGGUGGGAAGCUCCACAGACUGAAAACUAACUGGUUCACAGAGACUCACCUACAGGAGUGAGAGUUCUGAGCCCCACAUCAAACCCUCACGUGUGGGGAUCUGGCACUGGGAGAAAGAGCCCCUGGAGCAUCUGGCAUUGAAGGCCAGUGGGGCUUGUGCGCAGGAGCUCCACAGGACUGGGGGAAACGGAGACCCCAUUCUUAAAAGGCGCACACAGACUUUCACGUGCACUGGGUCCCAGGGCAGAGCAAGGUCUCCAUAGGAAUCUGGGUCAAACCUGACUGCAGUUCUUGGAGGACAUCCUGGGAAAACAGGGGUGAAUGUGGCUUGUUGUGAGGGAAGGACAUUGAAGGCAAAGCUCUCGGGAAUAUUCAGCAGGUGCCUUUCUCUGGAGGUGGCCAUUUUGGGAAAAUCUGGCCCCACCCAUCAGUCAGUGCUGAGAAGCCCCAGGGCAAACAACAAUCCAGGUGGGAUCACAGCCCCACCCCUCAGUAAACAGGCUACCUAAAGACCCCUCAGGCACACAGCUGCCUCUAAUCCCAUCCAGAGACUAAGCCCCACCCACCAGAGGGAUUAGAAUCAGCUCCACCUACCAGUGGGCAGGCAUCAGCCCCUCCCAUCAGGAAGCCUACAGCAAGCCCCCAUACCGACUUCAGCCACAAGGGGGGCAGACACCAGAAGUAAGAGAGGCUACAACUCUAUUAUCUGUAAAAAGGUCACCACACCAAAAACCUAUAAAAAUGAAAAGACAGAGAACUAUAACUCAGAUGAGGGAGAAAGGAAAAAUCCUAGAAAAUCAGCUAAGUGAUGAGGAGAUUCUCAGCCUCCAGGAAAAAGACUUUAGACUGUUGAUGCUCAAGAUGAUGCAAGACAUUGGAAAUAAACUGGAGGCAAAGAUGGAUAACUUACAGGAAACACUGACCAAAGAGAUACAAGAUACAAAACUUAAACAAGAAGAGAUGCAAAAUACAAUAACUGAAAUAAAAAAUUCACUAGAAGCAGCUAACAGCAGAAUACAGGAGGCAGAAGAACAAAUAAGCGAGGUGGAGGACAGAUUAGUGGAAAUUACAGAUGCAGAACAGAAAAGAGAAAAAAGAUUGAAAACAAAUGAAGAGAGUCUCAGAGAACUCUGGUACAACGUGAAAUGCACCAACAUCUGUAUUAUAGGGGUGCCAGAAGGAGAAGAGAGAGAGAGGAGGAGAAAAAAUAUUCUAAGAGAUAAUAGCCAAAAACUUCCCCAACAUGGGAAAGGAACCCCUCACUCAAAUCCAGGAAGCACAAUGAGUACCAUACAAAAUAAACCCAAGGAGGAACACCCCGAGACACAUACUAAUCAAACUGACCAAAACUAAAGACAAAGAGAAAAUCUUGAAAGCAGCUAGGGAAAAGAAAUAACAUACAAGGGAACCCCAAUAAGGUUAUUGGCAGAUUUUUCAGCGGAAACUCUGCAGGCCAGAAGGGAGUGGCAUCAUAUACUCAAUGUGAUGAAAGGAAAAAAAUCUCCAACCAAGAUUACUCUACCCAGCAAGGCUCUCGUUCAGAUUUGAAGAAAUCGAAACCUUCACAGAUAAGCAAAAGCUAAGAGAAUUCAGCAACACUAAACCAACCU